UUUUUUAUUAUAGCUUUCUGCCUUGUGUGAAGUGAUAUUUCAUUGUGGUUUUGAUUUGCAUUUUCCUGGUAAGUAAUCACGUUGAUCAUCUUUUCAUGUACUUAUUGGUCAUUUGCACAUUAAUGAAACUAUAUAUACCAUUCCUAUGGUCAUUUUAUUAGUCAACAGACAUUUAUUGAACAACUACUAUGUGCCAGACACUUAGAAGUAUUACAGAAGGUAAGUGAACACAUCAAACCAAAAUACCAGCCCUCAUGGAACUUAUAUUCCACUUGGGGAACAUAAAGUUAAAUAUUCGAAUGUUAAGUGAUAAGAAAUGCAACAAUAAAAAGAAAGUAAGGAAGAAAACUAGAAAUGCUAGGAGUGAAAUUUGCAUAUUUAAACAAAGUACUUAGUAAGGCCUUAUAGAAGAAGAUGAUGUUCAGAUGAAGACAGGCAAUAAGAGAGGGAGACAAGGAGAAAAAAAGGCUGAAGAAAUAAUCAGCUCAAAAGCUGCAAAGCAAGAGGAUCCACUGUCCCAUUCAAAGAGGAUCAGUAUGGCUGAAAUGGAGAGAAGAGCAGAAAAGAUCAGAUUGUGUAGGUUCUUGUGGGCCAUGAUGAGGCUUUAAUCCAAGAUCCUAAAGUUCUAGAGGGUUUAUAUAAAGAAGUGAAAUGAUCUGACCUCUAUCUUAACAGGAUGUUUAGAGAUUCAUGUGUGUGAGGGGGUAUUGCCACAAUGACUGGGGACCAGAAAUACUAAAUA
RNAcentral lists this long non-coding RNA (742 nucleotides) under Marmota monax (woodchuck). Lineage: Eukaryota; Metazoa; Chordata; Mammalia; Rodentia; Sciuridae. The record is from RNAcentral.